RNAcentral lists this ribosomal RNA (440 nucleotides) under uncultured bacterium. RNAcentral's name for it is "partial 16S ribosomal RNA". It matches the Rfam family "Bacterial small subunit ribosomal RNA", at positions 338 to 795 of the family's 1533-position model. The record is from RNAcentral.
CCUACGGGAGGCAGCAGUGGGGAAUAUUGCACAAUGGCGGAAACGCUGAUGCAGCGACGCCGCGUGAGUGAAGAAGUAUUUCUGUACGUAAAGCUCUAUCAGCAGGGAAGAAAAUGACGGUACCUGACGAAGAAGCCCCGGGUAACUACGUGCCAGCAGCCGCGGUAAUACGUAGGGGGCAGGCGUUAUUCGGAUUUAAUGGGUGUAAAGGGAGGCUAGAGGGCAAUGCCAGUCUGGAGGUAAAUCCCAUGGCUUAAACAUGGAACUGCUUUGGAAACUGUGCAGCUAGAGUGCAGGAGAGGUAAGCGGAAUGCCUAGUGUAGCGGUGAAAUGCGUAGAUAUUAGGAGGAACACCAGUGGCGAAGGCGGCUUACUGGACUGCAACUGACGUUGAGGCUCGAAAGCGUGGGGAGCAAACAGGAUUAGAUACCCUUGUAGUC